CAGAUAAACACGAAGAGAUGUCAUAAUACUCCUGCCGAUCGAUAAAAGAUUUGGAGAUGGACUGUAGAUCUCCCAAUCUGAUCUGGAAGUGGAAUCGCAUUUGUGUUCUUAGCAGGGGAGGAUUUCAUCAUCUGAAGGUUGUGAUUGGUCCUCUCACUUAUCUUUUGGUCUUGCCAGUCAGUGAAUUCAAACAGGUGUCAUCAGAACUCUAAAUUCAAAUAUUGUAUUUUUGACAAUAGGUGUCAUCGAAGACGAGCACACACACGUCUUGUGCUACGUAAAGAGCCUCGGCAAAGCUCCAGUAGUGACCAAUUGCCUUGCUUCUGGCAUGGAGGGAGCAGUUUUUCUUAUUUGCUUCAAGACCAAUGGUCAUGGUUUAUGAUCAAGGAAUAGCACAUCCAAAAGAAGAGAUGUGCGUGGCUCGUCAGUAGCAGUGGUAACCUGCAGCUUUGACUUUCUUUGUGAGUUUGAAAGUGCUACAGAGACGAGACGCUGCUGCCAGGAUUUGAGAGAGCAAAGUUGUCGCUGGGGGAGGCCUGCUGCUGGGAUUUGAAGAUGAUAUGGUACCCGAAGGCACCACCGGAGCUCGACGACGACAUGGUACCUGAAGGUAACGGACGGAGCUUGUGGAUGAUACGGCACCCUAAGGCACGCCGUUAGAGCUCGACGACAAUAUCGGCACCCUAAGGCACGCCGUGUCGGAGCUUGAGGAUGAUACGGCACCCUAAGGCACGCCGUGCUGGAGCUCGACGACAAUAUCGGCACCCUAAGGCACGCCGUGUCGGAGCAUUUUAUGGUAUCGCUUCGCUGGAGGCCUGCAUCAUUUGAGAACAGCAAAGGAAAAGAUGCAGAUUGGUGAAAAUCUCACCCUCUUCUUUCUUGCUUUCUUCCUCUCCUUGGCUGCUGUCCUCUGUUUUUUUUCACAGUCUUCCUAUUCGUCCGCUCCUGCUGCCUCUUCACGUUGCGGCCUCCUCUUUUUCUUUUCAUGUGGUGCUUAUAUACUGCACUAGAGAUGAGUUUGGCUUGUGUACAACAUUGAAAGUUUUAGAGUUGAACUUGAAGUGAAAUAGCUGGACACCUUAUCUCCUUUCUCUUUUGACGUCAAGGUUGUAACUUCUUCUUCUUUUUUUUUUUUUUAACUGCUUGUCUAGACUUUCAAAGAAGCUAGAAGUCAAAUGCUUUAUAAGCAGCUUAAAAACUCAAAGCUUUUUUUUUUUUUUGCUUUUUGUUUAGAG
This is a long non-coding RNA of Rosa rugosa (rugosa rose), 1235 nucleotides long. RefSeq lists it as uncharacterized. The record is from RefSeq and is a predicted model, not a curated record. The transcript has 3 exons. Lineage: Eukaryota; Viridiplantae; Streptophyta; Magnoliopsida; Rosales; Rosaceae.